UACAGAGGUCUCGAGCGUUGUUCGGAUUCAUUGGGCGUAAAGGGCGCGUAGGCGGCGGGGUAAGUCUGGUGUGAAAUCUCGGAGCUCAACUCCGAAAUUGCACUGGAUACUGCUCUGCUAGAGGGUUGGAGAGGAGAUCGGAAUUCACGGUGUAGCAGUGAAAUGCGUAGAUAUCGUGAGGAAGACCAGUGGCGAAGGCGGAUCUCUGGACAGCUCCUGACGCUGAGGCGCGAAGGCUAGGGGAGCAAACGGG
RNAcentral lists this ribosomal RNA (253 nucleotides) under uncultured bacterium. RNAcentral describes it as "partial 16S ribosomal RNA". It matches the Rfam family "Bacterial small subunit ribosomal RNA", at positions 524 to 776 of the family's 1533-position model. The record is from RNAcentral.